Molecule: ribosomal RNA, 465 nt
Filed under: Vreelandella stevensii
Lineage: Bacteria; Pseudomonadati; Pseudomonadota; Gammaproteobacteria; Oceanospirillales; Halomonadaceae
Description: partial 16S ribosomal RNA
Rfam family: Bacterial small subunit ribosomal RNA
Source: RNAcentral
CCUACGGGAGGCAGCAGUGGGGAAUAUUGGACAAUGGGCGAAAGCCUGAUCCAGCCAUGCCGCGUGUGUGAAGAAGGCCUUCGGGUUGUAAAGCACUUUCAGUGGGGAAGAAAGCCUUGGGGCUAAUACCCUCGAGGAAGGACAUCACCCACAGAAGAAGCACCGGCUAACUCCGUGCCAGCAGCCGCGGUAAUACGGAGGGUGCGAGCGUUAAUCGGAAUUACUGGGCGUAAAGCGCGCGUAGGCGGUCUGAUAAGCCGGUUGUGAAAGCCCCGGGCUCAACCUGGGAACGGCAUCCGGAACUGUCAGGCUAGAGUGCAGGAGAGGAAGGUAGAAUUCCCGGUGUAGCGGUGAAAUGCGUAGAGAUCGGGAGGAAUACCAGUGGCGAAGGCGGCCUUCUGGACUGACACUGACGCUGAGGUGCGAAAGCGUGGGUAACAAACAGGAUUAGAUACCCCAGUAGUC